Non-coding RNA from Paramuricea clavata, 1427 nucleotides. Lineage: Eukaryota; Metazoa; Cnidaria; Anthozoa; Malacalcyonacea; Plexauridae. The record is from the annotation of a GenBank genome assembly.
CGCAUGCCUAAACGCCCAACGAGUUUAAUACAUGAUUAUUAUAAUGAAUUACACGCGUUUUCGAAAUUAUGCGACCAGGCGAAAAUAGCUGGAGUUAACAUGUCAGUUUUAUGUCACACGGUCACGAAGUUCAAACUGUUUACAACUUUUAGUUUUGCGGUUCAUUAUCGAUAUAUAUGCUUAGUAUCCUUUAUAUAUAAAGCCUGGGAGAAGGAUUUUCAAGUUAUUUGUGUGAUAAUUAUUGCAAAAUUUAAGCACAACGAAAUCAUAAUAUUACCGCUAUAAUCUAGCGCAGGCGGGUUUAAUACACAGUAAAAUCGAGGUACAAAAUUGUUCUUUUCCGAACUUUGAAAGUCAAUCUCGCCACAGAUUUCUGUUGUGAUGGCUUUUUGUUCCUUUUAGUUUGUAUAUCUAGCUCAUUUUGAUUCAAUUUUCUUCUUUAAGUAUUAAAUACGUUAUAAAAUGACUUUUGUUUACGUUUGCUAUUUUUAGAUAAAACUUAUUAAUUAACUGACAUUUGAACAAACAUUAUUUUCGAGUUAGUCGAUCGCGUGAUUUUGGAAACGGGUGUAAUUAGGGAGGGACCAUUAGAAAAGUGAUGGGGGGGGGGUCCAUGUCCAACGUGCACGAUUAUUUUUUCAAAAUUUUUUGCUGUGUCGAUUUUUUUUUUAAUCCCUUGCUCGAUUUUAUUUUUUUUCUUAGCGGGGCGGGGGGGGAGGGGGCGGCGAAGUGAAUUUUUUUUCCGGACCACACCAGUGUUGUUAACGUUUAAAACACAUUUUCCCUUAAAACAUGAUUAAAACGCUUUUUUUGCACCAAUAUCCACUACAUUUAGGUUUAAAAUUUUUUUCUCACACUAUUACUAACUGAAAAAUUUCCAAAUUAUUUUUUUUUAUUUUCCAAAUUUGGGGGCCACCUUUACACUGUACCUCUGAUAGGCCCUGUCAACAUAUAAUUUUCCCUAUUGAAAAGUCUCUACACGAAUUUUUAUUUCAAACUUUUCUGGUGCACGAGUUUUUUCUGUUCCCCCUGCUCGAUUUUUCUUUUUGCUUUUGUCCCCCCCCCCCCAUCACUUAUCCAAUGGUCCGCCCCUUAUAUGACUGACUCUUGAUAUAAUUUAAUGUAAUGUUUUGAGGGCUGUUUUUAUUAUUAGACUUAACUGUUAGCUUUUUCUUUGGUUGCAUGUUCUCAUCAGUUUGAUUUGUAUUUGUCAUGCUUUACCAACAUUACAUGUAAAAUUAUUGAACUCGGCAAUUUUCCCGCCAAAACGGACCGGUCAGGUAAGACAGGUAAAUAAAAGGCAUAUUGACUUUGUCAAGCCAGCGCAGCAGUGGUUUGAAGGUUUUGAGGAUUUUUGAAUCUAACCCACCUUAUAUUCAAAAAUCCUCAAAACCUUCAAUAAAAUAAAGCGUUUUGCAAGAUUUUUU